This 348-nucleotide long non-coding RNA is filed under the name Arabidopsis lyrata. RNAcentral describes it as "long non-coding RNA (ALYR_LNC001579)". Lineage: Eukaryota; Viridiplantae; Streptophyta; Magnoliopsida; Brassicales; Brassicaceae. The record is from RNAcentral.
CACGGUUUCUCGAGGACCUAGAGAUGCUGAGUUCUAGUGCACCUGAGCAAUUACCAAGCUCAGCCGAUGAAACCAGCCCUGAGAAACCUUUAGACGCACUUGGAAGUUUCAACCUCAGAGGAAGUAACCCACUUGAGCAACUCGGACUGUACAUGAAACAAGAUGAUGAUGAAGAAGAACCCGAAGCUCAUGCGCUUCCAAAACCUGAUGAAACCAGCACCGAGAGACCUUUAGACGCACUUGGAAGUUUCAACCUCGGAGAAAGUAACCCUCUGGAGCAACUCGGACUGUACAUGAAACUAGACGACGAUGAUGAAGAAGAACCCGAGGCUCCUGUGGUGCCAAAAC